CCUAGAUGAAGAUGAUGGUGUUAUUGUGCC
This 30-nucleotide non-coding RNA is filed under the name Homo sapiens (human). Lineage: Eukaryota; Metazoa; Chordata; Mammalia; Primates; Hominidae. The record is from RNAcentral.